UGGGGAAUAUUGCACAAUGGGCGAAAGCCUGAUGCAGCAACGCCGCGUGAGUGAUGAAGGUCUUCGGAUUGUAAAGCUCUGUCUUUUGGGACGAUAAUGACGGUACCAAAGGAGGAAGCCACGGCUAACUACGUGCCAGCAGCCGCGGUAAUACGUAGGUGGCGAGCGUUGUCCGGAUUUACUGGGCGUAAAGGGUGCGUAGGCGGAUGUUUAAGUGAGAUGUGAAAUACCCGGGCUUAACUUGGGUGCUGCAUUUCAAACUGGAUAUCUAGAGUGCAGGAGAGGAGAAUGGAAUUCCUAGUGUAGCGGUGAAAUGCGUAGAGAUUAGGAAGAACACCAGUGGCGAAGGCGAUUCUCUGGACUGUAACUGACGCUGAGGCACGAAGGGNCGUUAGCAAACAGGAUUAGAUACCCUGGUAGUCCA
Molecule: ribosomal RNA, 424 nt
Filed under: uncultured bacterium
Lineage: Bacteria
Description: partial 16S ribosomal RNA
Rfam family: Bacterial small subunit ribosomal RNA
Source: RNAcentral